GUCUGCCGGACGUGGUGGUCCGGUACUGACGAGCAGCCGAGG
RNAcentral lists this non-coding RNA (42 nucleotides) under Pseudomonas aeruginosa. Lineage: Bacteria; Pseudomonadati; Pseudomonadota; Gammaproteobacteria; Pseudomonadales; Pseudomonadaceae. The record is from RNAcentral.